Molecule: ribosomal RNA, 253 nt
Filed under: uncultured bacterium
Lineage: Bacteria
Description: partial 16S ribosomal RNA
Rfam family: Bacterial small subunit ribosomal RNA
Source: RNAcentral
UACGUAGGGAGCAAGCGUUGUCCGGAAUCAUUGGGCGUAAAGCGCGCGUAGGUGGCCUCAUAAGUCCGUUGUGAAAGUCAAAGGCUCAACCUUUGAAAGCCGAUGGAUACUGUGAGACUAGAGUACGGAAGAGGCGAGUGGAAUUCCUGGUGUAGCGGUGAAAUGCGCAGAUAUCAGGAAGAACACCCGUGGCGAAGGCGGCUCUCUGGGACGGUACUGACGCUGAGACGCGAAAGCGUGGGGAGCGAACAGG